Molecule: long non-coding RNA, 1347 nt
Organism: Gallus gallus (chicken)
Lineage: Eukaryota; Metazoa; Chordata; Aves; Galliformes; Phasianidae
Source: Ensembl
CCUGAGCUGUAGUUUCACAUGUUUCUAGUUCUGUCUCUGGCCUCAUCUCCUGGCCAGGCCUUUUAUCUAUACUGCAGCAGUGACUUCAGCCAACCAGACUUUCUGGAUGGUCCUUGGACACGGUUCAUACUAUACCUUGACUGGGGCUGUUGAUGGACCUUGUUACUGUCACCUGCCUUCUGUAUUCAGGCACUACAGCACUGAACCCUGGUUCAGCCCUGCCUGGGCUGGAUCCUCUCCUGCUCUGAGUCACCUCUCUUAGAAGCAGUCUGUCUUUGCUAUGGCCUGACAUGGAUUGCCAGUUGCAGUUGGCCUGGAGAUGAGAAACAACUGCUGCCUUGCAUCCAUCAGCAUCAUGCAUUUCUGCUGCUAUCUAUCUCUGAAGUUCACUGCUCCUCUGGCCUGGAUUUGCUAAUACAGUCAGAUUUUGCUACUUGCCCCUAAUUGUUGAAAAUGCAACAUCAAACAGCACUUCUAAAGGUCACAUCCUUGCAUCUCAAGGCUGACCUUUAGCUGCACUGAAAUUAGCGAUUAACUCAUUCCUCUUCAAAUUUGUGCCAGAAUUGUCACCUUCACCUCAUCGUGGUUUAGCUUCAUCAGCAGCAUCUUCAACCUGAUGUCCUUUUUUGCAAGUCCAGGGUUAUAGGCAGUAGGCAUUGUCAGGAAGUAUUUUGUGAACUGGCAGUUUUACAUCAAAGAAGAGUUCCAGAUGUGAAAUCUGAAUAUUUGUCAGAAACCUUGUUUUUAGGAUGGUUCUGAGAUGUCACAGCAUAUGCACCACGAGGAGUUCUCCCAGACCAAACAAGUCAGGCAGCACAGAGCUGAUAGUCAGCCUUAGAGAGCCGACAAGUCAAUCAGAGCGGAGAUGCAUGGAAAGACACCAGCUUUAUGGGGCUCGGUGCUUUCAUUCAUCGUGGGAUUUACACCUGUCAGCUUCCUGGAGGGGGGAGCUCGCUGGGACUCACUUCAGUGCCACUUAAAAUGGGGCAACAGACAUGUUACUGCAAUCAGCUCCUGCUUGCCUUUCCUAUGGACAGUAUUUUGCAGGGAGCCUUUGCUACUUGCACUUGAAGCUGAACGCACCUCCUUCCACAAGGGAAAGCACUGCCUGCAUUUCAAGAUCAGAAGGACUGUUCCCCACACAGCUGACAUGCCCCAGACCAAGUAGGCAGGGUGGCCCUGACUGGCUUCAUGUUCCCCAACAUGUGGGACAGGGGGAAAUAACAGGGUAACCACUCACUUACCAAAAGAAGGCUUCAGGAGCUAUGUAAGCUGCAUGAGCCCAUCUCAUUAUCUGAGUUUGUCAUGACACUUAUUACAAGAGGUCAGUGGAGGCCAGACCAGGAG